RNAcentral lists this ribosomal RNA (446 nucleotides) under Klebsiella sp. R-49446. Its description in RNAcentral is "bacterial SSU rRNA". It matches the Rfam family "Bacterial small subunit ribosomal RNA", at positions 24 to 467 of the family's 1533-position model. The record is from RNAcentral. Lineage: Bacteria; Pseudomonadati; Pseudomonadota; Gammaproteobacteria; Enterobacterales; Enterobacteriaceae.
UCAGAUUGAACGCUGGCGGCAGGCCUAACACAUGCAAGUCGAACGGUAGCACAGAGAGCUUGCUCUCGGGUGACGAGUGGCGGACGGGUGAGUAAUGUCUGGGAAACUGCCCGAUGGAGGGGGAUAACUACUGGAAACGGUAGCUAAUACCGCAUAACGUCGCAAGACCAAAGAGGGGGACCUUAGGGCCUCUUGCCAUCGGAUGUGCCCAGAUGGGAUUAGCUUGUAGGUGAGGUAACGGCUCACCUAGGCGACGAUCCCUAGCUGGUCUGAGAGGAUGACCAGCCACACUGGAACUGAGACACGGUCCAGACUCCUACGGGAGGCAGCAGUGGGGAAUAUUGCACAAUGGGCGCAAGCCUGAUGCAGCCAUGCCGCGUGUAUGAAGAAGGCCUUCGGGUUGUAAAGUACUUUCAGCGGGGAGGAAGGGAGUGAGGUUAAUAACC